AUGUCUUGGCUCCCAUAACGAUGAAAGACGCAGCUAAGUGCGAUAAGCAAUGCGAAUUGCAGAACCAUGAAUCAUUAGAAUUUUGAACGCAUCCGGCACCGGUUGGCUCU
RNAcentral lists this ribosomal RNA (110 nucleotides) under Diophrys oligothrix. RNAcentral describes it as "5.8S ribosomal RNA". It matches the Rfam family "5.8S ribosomal RNA", at positions 16 to 127 of the family's 154-position model. Rfam says of the family: 5.8S ribosomal RNA (5.8S rRNA) is a component of the large subunit of the eukaryotic ribosome. It is transcribed by RNA polymerase I as part of the 45S precursor that also contains 18S and 28S rRNA. RNAcentral also lists the same sequence under 1 other name. Lineage: Eukaryota; Ciliophora; Spirotrichea; Euplotida; Uronychiidae. The record is from RNAcentral.